ACUUCUAUGCAUGUUGUUUCAGGCAAGACAUUGUUACAGAUCCAUCAAAAAUUAAAUUACUACUCCCUCCAUCCACAUAUAUAGGGCCUAAUACGUUUUUCAGGUUACAUUUGACAACAGGUUAGCACAAUAACAUAUGACAUGCAUGUUACACAAAGCAUACCAUUGAAUUCGUAUAUGAAAGGAGUUUCUAAUGAUAUAAUUUUUAUAUCAUACAUCUCAUAUACUAAUAAUUUUAUUAUUGGUCAAAGGCUACCUCGAAAAAUGUAUUUGACUCUAUAUCUGGAUGGAGGGAGUACCAUUUGUUCUACACAUGUUCCCUAUGAAAUGGCCUUUGGUUGUACGUGGCUUGGGCAAAAUUUUGAUUUCCUAAUUGUCCAUAUGAAUGUUUAUGGCUCCUGUAGUUCUUUAUACACAAGCGUCAGCUGCUGAUAUGGUUGAUGGAAGUAUGAGGUAUGUUCUCCACAUUUUCAAAGAUAGAAAAGUUCUAUGGGUAGCUAGAGCGAUGUCUUUUUUAUUUACAAUAUCUAUACUGCUGAAUAAUGACUUGUGGCUGUAUGUCCUUGUAUAUUUGGUGCAUUUACCUACGAUUGGUAAUGAUAUUAAGUAUUCCUUAAUUAAUCUCAGAUAUACCUUUGCAGACUAUGCUUUAUGAUCCAAUGGGAGAUUUGACAAAGCAAGAUAUUUUUCAACAGAUAUGUUUCUUCAUCAGUUGUGAAAAGUACAAUAUUUAACACAUGUUUUUUUAGUUGUGUUUUCAACCAACAAAUGUAUCCACGAGCAAUUUUUAUUCCAAAAACUACUGCACUUUCCGGUGAAAAAAGAACAAUUGGACUAGAUGGACAACAAUGGGCGUAGGCCAUCCAAUAGAUGUGAUUUCCUGUUCGCUUUUGUCAAAUAUCUUCAUAAUUGUACAGUCACUCACGUUAUUAAUAUCCGGAUCUUCGGAGAGGCUAUGUUUGUGAGCAGGUUUAAUCCCAAUCUGCUAUUUAGUAGGUCGCCAUUCAUUGGUCCAUCUUUUGCUAAUCGAUUCAGACAAAGUUCAUUUUUGCUUGAAUUUAUACUGUGA
This 1069-nucleotide long non-coding RNA is filed under the name Triticum aestivum (bread wheat). RNAcentral's name for it is "long non-coding RNA (TAES_LNC008964)". The record is from RNAcentral. Lineage: Eukaryota; Viridiplantae; Streptophyta; Magnoliopsida; Poales; Poaceae.